GACAACUGCUGUUUGACAACUGCUUUGACUCAGUGCAGCUGCUCAAAAUGCCAAGGCCUUGAACUGACCUGGGCUGCUGAAGGUCUGCCAGACUGUGCUUCAUGCGAACCACAGCCAUGUCCACCAGCGAAUUCAGCUGGCAGGAAUGUCACCCUUGCAGGGUGGAUUACACUCCACAUCAUCUCUAGAGACUUGGAGGAAGGGUUGGCUGUAAUUGAUUUAAAGGCUGUAACACCAGCAAGCCUGGGCAGGGGCGGACAGUCCCCCGAUGUUUUUUGUACCUCAGGAAUCCAUCUGUUCAAUGGAUUUGUUCAAUGACCUGCAGCAGCUCAGCUAACUGACUAGAGCAUAAAAAACACAGUGAUGUGAGUGCCAGGUUUUUAGAGGCAGACAAAUUGCUGCUGAAAGGCUUCAUAGGGAAGGCAACCAGCCCUGGCUCUUCAGGGUCAGCUGAAGUCCUUGAUAUAAUGCCAGAGAGAGAGAAUGGGACAAUAUGUACCUCUUCCAGACUUUGACACUCAGCUGUAAUAGGAGGUGGUGUCAUCCUGAUCAGGAGCAAGAGAUUUAUCUCACUAAGCUCGCUCUGGGCCAGAAGACCUGGGAAUGAACUUCAGUGCAGAACUUAGCAUAUGCUGAGAAAAGAUGGGAACAGUGCAAGCCACAUGGGAAGCAGACCUACAGCUGCUUACUAGCAGAAGGGAUGGAGGUUAAUUGCAUUUACAUAAAGCCACUCUUUGCCCUCAGCCACAUGUGUCACAUUGUCUGGCUGCAAAAAGAGGCCUUAAAGAAGGAGCAGAAGCUAUGUUUGGAAGGGCUUCCUGGGUUUUUUGUCAGGACGUGACCCUCACCUGUGUUUGUGCAUCUCAGGAGCAGCCAGGAAGAGGACACUAGAAGACAAAACAGUAAGCAGAAUGUAACUGGGAGAGAUACUAGUUUAGGCCAGAGAUAGAGGGGUAGGCUAUACUCCCUGCUCCAGAGUCCAAGAAGAAGGAACUGAGGAUCAGAUCUGAACAUGUCUUUGCCUUCAGUGACAAAGACCUUAGACAAACUAAAUGUGGAAAUCAAAAGAAAAAGAAACAAGGAGAAGCCUGUUGAAAAAUGCCAAGGACGGACAACAUGAAGCUUGACUUUCCAGAUCCAUCUCAUCUGAACUAACACUUGCCUUGGCAGAAGGAUCUGAGUAUCUGGCAGCUUCAAUUUUGAAUGCUUAAUUUUUAAUUUCUCUACUUACACAUCCUCCUAAAUGACUGUCCUCCAUGAACCCAUGAUUUCUGGACUCUCACCCAUAUUCUACUCUUAUGUUCUAUCUCCUGUCAAGCUCUUUGUGUGGUUGUUCAUCCGUGUUGCCACCUCUAACGCUAUUGCUUUUGCCAACAGAGGCACUUGCCCUGAAGAAAAAUACAACUCUUCUCGCACAUUCAGUACAACCCUGUCUCCUCCCUGCAAUUCAUGCUCAGGCUCUCUUCUUCCACCUUGAAUUAUCUAAUAUCAGUCACUGCAGCUGCUAGUUGACUCCAUGGAAACUCUUGCUAUUAAAAGCAUUUAAAAUGCCACUGAUUUGGAAAAAAAAUCCUUCACUACCACCACAACAACUACAAAAAAUCAUCAGCAAAACCUCUUGGAACUUGUAGAAGAGCAGCUGAAAUGACACAGGGAAAAGACAAGUAAGAAGCCAGUGGGUGGAAAUGAGAACCAGGAGGUAGAAGGCCCUAUGAUAGAAAAUCCACGAAACCCAUAAGUAAAGUGACGAAAGAAACAAUGCAUUGAAGGGCUCAUGAGACAUCAGAAGCUGAGCUCUUCAUUAACCUAUCAUCAUGUCUUCAAACAAAGAUAUUUAUUUAGGCACUCUUCUCUCCCAGUGCCCAGUCAAUUAUCUGAAUUUGUAAUUCUCAACCUAAUUAUCUUAGAAAAUAUUCAUACUACACAUGCACACUCAUACUCCCCUAAUUCCUUUUCUAUCCCUAUGUUUUUUAAAGCAGAUUAGAGUUUCAGUGGGAAGUGUCCCUGGAAGGACUCAGGGCUCUAUGGGAAUGCUGAUUCUCAGCCCAUCUCUGAACAUUUUGCUCUGAGAAUCCUGUGCAUCCAAUAAAGCCAUACAUUUAUAGUCCCAUGAUUAAGACUCUGCUAAACCACCACUCAUCAUUAUAUCUUAAAGAGUGUUGUUAAAGGAGACUUGUAUCAUUAAUCCAUUUUACAACUGCAGAGAUGGGUGCUGCAGGGAAAUUUAUUGUCCUGUUGCCAUGACACCAGGAACAGGCUAAACAUCAACCUUCUGAGCUCUCAUCACCCAAUCAUGGGAUUGGCUUUGAUCUCCUAGUGAAGACCUCACAAAGCUCCAGGCUUCAACUGCCUCUUGGGUCUGCCUGCUUCACCUGUGAGUGUCCUGCCUGGACACUGUUCCCUCCAGAUAUAAAAAGGAAGACACAUGGUCUGAGCACAUCAGCAGAAAUUCAGUUCUCAGUGCAAAAAGCUUUGGAGCCUCAAGACUUCUCCUGAGAGAUGUACAGGAUAUCUUCCUUCCUCGCUGCUUUCACAACUACCAGUUUUCAUCUAGACAGCUGCCAACUCAGAGUCUGGCAUAAAAGGGAACACGAAGGGUUGAUCUGUCCCCAGCACAGUGAUACUGUUUCUCAUUGUGGAUGUUCUUCAGUGAUAAGAAAAGAGACCUCCAGGAGUUCGAGCUGUUGAGCAGUUUAGGUUAGGGGCAACAAACCCAAAUACAGCUUGAGUCCUGCAGAAAAGCAGCCAGAUAAUAACAGAAUAUGCAUGGUUUCACGGCGAACCUCAGAUCCAAGCCAGACAGAAGGAUAAGGUCAGGCAAGCUGGGUCCUGCAGCUGCUCAAAGAAUCGACAUCAGAGCUCUGUCAAUUCAGAGCAUCAGUUUAUCUGUCCUCAUACAAUAAACUCAAUAUAUGUAUAAGUCUUGUAAACCUCUACUUGCUGAACUAAAGCCUUAAUUUACUGAAAUAAAGCCCUAAUUUCAUUAUUUAGCUGCCCACUGUGAGAUGUCACCAUGCUUUAGAUUAAGUUGUCAACAGAAGCUGAUCUGCACCAUUUGUUAACUGCAAAUUAUGCACAUCCAAAGUAAAAGCCUCUGGUAACAAACUGAUGAAGCACAUUGCAUUUCUACAUAUCUGAGCUACAGAGAGGCUACUUGCAUGUUAUCAGGGCUUUGCAGGUAGACUACUUAAUCAUGUGGAUUACAAACCUAAUAUAACAGUGCAACAAUAUGUACUAUAGUCACCCUGCCACAGUGAGUCAGGGAGGUCUGAAUCUGUGAUCCUGGGGGUAUGAUAGCAGCUGUACAUAAACAGACUAAAAACUUGACUGAAACCACUCACUAAAUAAUGCUAAAAUAUUUUGUAACUUUCAUUUGUAAUACAAACUAUGAAGAAGAACAUGGAAGCAAAUGCAAGAUGGCAUGAUGUUAACAAAGUACUGAAUGGAAAAGUACAGGAAGAUAGAAUGAAUAAAAUUACAAAAUGCUCAAGAUGGGAGAGGUAGAAGAGGCAGAGGCCCAAGAAACAGGCACUCUAGUUUCUCAAAGGUUCCAUGCAUGAACAGCGAGUUUUGGCAGCAAAAACUGAUGAUAAAAGUGCCCCAAGGGGUGGGGAGAGGAGGGAGGAGAAAUGAUGUGACUAAAGAAAAGCAGUGCAGCAUCAAUAUCUCAGAAGAAAAUGCUCCAAGCAAUUGCACACCAUUUGUUUGACCUGAAAAUCUUUUAAAAAAAUUGUCUGUGGAAGCAGCUGUAAAAGAUAAAGAUGAAGAUGGAACAAAUUGCAACAUACAUCAAAGUCUGAUGUUUCCAAGCUAAGCCAGUUUUUUUUCAGUGAUAAAGAAACUGAUUUUCUAAAUACAGGGAACACAGCAGGUUUCACUAAUUUAGGCUGCAGUACAGAAUAUGACAAACACCACAGCAAGGUGAGAGGCAGCCCUUUCCCACAAAAGUAUACAUGCAGAAUUCAUGCCUGGGCCAGGAAGCAAGAUGAAACUGUGCUUCUGCUUCACAUGGACAAAGAACCAGACAGGGAUUUAAUACAAAGCUCAACAUUCAAGGUCCCCACUAAACUCAGGAGGGGAGGCAGUUCGAAAUGGACAUCUGCAGAGGCCUUGAGGAAAACAAGGAGAGAAGGAACAGAGAGCAUAGUAAGCAAGACAGGGAUAAAAACACAAAAAAGAAACAUGGGGCUUUCAUAACAUUCCAGAAGAGUUGCAGGGUUUUUGUUUUGCUCCACUAGCAAAGUGUAAAAAAGUGCUUAAUUCUGUACACAUGAAGAAAAGGCAAAGGGAGAAAAGCUCAAGUCUAGCAACCAAAUCCAAAAGAUCCCAUGGAGAUAGUAUGACAAGGGUCCUUGUCUUUCACAGGACCAAAAGACAGUUUGGAGUUUCCCUUCUUCUUUCUCUUUCCUUAUAAAAUCUAAACGAAUGUUCAGUGAAGUAUCUACAACUUCCUGCUUGUUUUGUGGAAAGCACAUUUAGCCUACUAUUCUUGAAACCCCAUCUCUUCCCAGCAACUCCAGUUACCAAGUUAUAGAGGGAGAAAAAGCCUCUUUGCCUUUCUAAAAUUUGGGAACAGCAACUUUCAAAAGUUGUCCAUGAUGUGCUUUGUUGGGUCAAACAGUACUGUUCAUUUUUUCUGACACAUAAGCACCUAGACAAAUUGAAGGAUUUUUCUCAUCCUUUUCAGUAAUAUCAACUGUAAUGACUUCUAAGGCAAUAUUCCAAGCAGUUAAAUUGCUACUUUUUGCAGGUGCUCAGUAAGACUUGCUCAAACAUCUGGGCAAAAGAAAUCACCAGAUAUGGAUGAAUUUCAAUGAAUUAGUACCAAAACUAAACUGGCAGCAAAAUUCUUUGCAACAAGCCACCCUGCUUGCUAAGGUAUCUUGGAAGACAGCCUACUUAAUCAGCUCUGUAACUUUUGGCCCUCAAGUUUAGCAAGAGAAGACACACACAGAGAAAUCCAUGUAUAAGCAACCUGGUCAUCUCUGUAGAGCCAAGCACCUGGAAGCCUCUUUUUGGAGUAAGCAGCUGUAAGGAGCUAACUUCCCUGGAUCAUCCAGCACAGGGUACAGCUGCUCAGUCCAUGCCAUGUUUUCAAAAUGAAGGUGAAAUGCAAAAUGAAAAGCAUGCAGUUAUUUUAGCUCCUUUCAUAAAUUAUUUCAUCCACUUUUCAACAAAUUCUACUUCUCUCAUUUCACUGCAGAGGCAGGGAGAAGGUUUCAGAAGAAAACAAGCAAAAAUUCAGUGUAAUUUAAGACAAGACAAAGACUAAGCCAUUUCUAAUAAUAUUAACUUAAUUUUUCUCAGGAAAACAAACAUAGCUGCAAGGCCAAGAUUGACUUUUCUAGCAUGGUUCAUAUCCUACAACUCUCAGAAUCCACUGUGCCAUUGCUACUCCUUUUCUCUUCCACUGGAAGAGAAACAAUAGCAUGAAUGUUUAAGAAUAAGGAAACAUACCAAGCAAGUGCUUAGCCUCCAUGAUCUAAAUAUUUUUAGUGCUGAACCCACAGGCAAGAGUGUUUGAUUGGAGCUUUACAACAUGCCAAAUGUGCUGGAACAGUAAAACAGCCCUGAGUAGCCCUCAGGUAGCUGGUACCCUGCUUCUCUCUUAACAGCAGUUCACUGUCUGUCAAUACAUCCUAGAGGUUAUGUGAAGUUCAAGGCUAUUUUACUUUAAACUGCAUUCCUGUUUUUGUUUCCAUCACCAACACACAAUCCAGGCCUGACUAACAAACCAUAGGUGGUUUGCUUCCACCCUAAUGUUGGAAGAAGGGACAUUUCCCUCCCUACCUUCCAUGUAUAAAGCAGGAGGCACAAAGGUAGGAGAGGGAGAAGAAAAACCAUUGUUCUUCCUCCUUUGCAGCAUAUAUUUGCUGAAAACCCUAAGGCAGGGUAAGAUUGUCAGUUCCAUGCAUGAACUUGAGACUGCUGAUCAACAGUAUGAAGAAGGUAAAGCGGUUUUCAAGCACCAUAUAAAGCAACCUCCAAAUGGUUUAGUGACAGAACUUCAUUUUUUCAGCAAUUAACUCCAUGAAAGCUCUAAAAAGAAGCAAAUACAAUGAAAAUAAUAACAUUGUUUUGAAGU
Long non-coding RNA from Pseudopipra pipra, 6085 nucleotides. RefSeq lists it as uncharacterized. The transcript has 2 exons. The record is from RefSeq and is a predicted model, not a curated record. NCBI's taxonomy places the organism in Eukaryota, Metazoa, Chordata, Aves, Passeriformes, Pipridae.